GCACGGUUGGCUGAGCGGCAAGGCAACGGUCUGCAAAACCGUUCCAGACCGGUUCGACUCCGGUACCGUGCU
RNAcentral lists this transfer RNA (72 nucleotides) under Acidithiobacillus caldus. RNAcentral describes it as "tRNA-Cys". It matches the Rfam family "tRNA". Rfam says of the family: Transfer RNA (tRNA) molecules are approximately 80 nucleotides in length. Their secondary structure includes four short double-helical elements and three loops (D, anti-codon, and T loops). Lineage: Bacteria; Pseudomonadati; Pseudomonadota; Acidithiobacillia; Acidithiobacillales; Acidithiobacillaceae. The record is from RNAcentral. RNAcentral also lists the same sequence under 2 other names.